This 460-nucleotide ribosomal RNA is filed under the name uncultured bacterium. RNAcentral describes it as "partial 16S ribosomal RNA". It matches the Rfam family "Bacterial small subunit ribosomal RNA", at positions 338 to 795 of the family's 1533-position model. The record is from RNAcentral.
CCUACGGGAGGCAGCAGUGAGGAAUAUUGGUCAAUGGACGAGAGUCUGAACCAGCCAAGUCGCGUGAAGGAUGACUGCCCUAUGGGUUGUAAACUUCUUUUAUAUGGGAAUAAAAUGUUCCACGUGUGGGAUUUUGUAUGUACCAUAUGAUUAACGAUCGGCUAACUCCGGUCCAGCCGCCGCGGUCAUACGGCGGAUCCGAGCGUUAUCCGGGUUUAUUGGGUUUAAAGGGAGCGUAGGUGGAUUGUUAAGUCAGUUGUGAAAGUUUGCGGCUCAACCGUAAAAUUGCAGUUGAAACUGGCAGUCUUGAGUACAGUAGAGGUGGGCGGAAUUCGUGGUGUAGCGGUGAAAUGCUUAGAUAUCACGAAGAACUCCGAUUGCGAAGGCAGCUCACUGGACUGCAACUGACACUGAGGCUCGAAAGUGUGGGUAUCAAACAGGAGUAGAUACCCCGGUAGUC